GAUGAACGCUGGCGGCGUGCUUAACACAUGCAAGUCGAACGGAAAGGCCCAAGCUUGCUUGGGUACUCGAGUGGCGAACGGGUGAGUAACACGUGGGUGAUCUGCCCUGCACUUCGGGAUAAGCCUGGGAAACUGGGUCUAAUACCGGAUAGGACCACAUUUUGGAUGGUGUGGUGGAAAGUUUUUCGGUGUGGGAUGAGCUCGCGGCCUAUCAGCUUGUUGGUGGGGUAAUGGCCUACCAAGGCGUCGACGGGUAGCCGGCCUGAGAGGGUGUACGGCCACAUUGGGACGGAGAUACGGCCCAGACUCCUACGGGAGGCAGCAGUGGGGAAUAUUGCACAAUGGGCGCAAGCCUGAUGCAGCGACGCCGCGUGGGGGAUGACGGCCUUCGGGUUGUAAACUCCUUUCGCUAGGGACGAAGCGCAAGUGACGGUACCUGGAGAAGAAGCACCGGCUAACUACGUG
This 465-nucleotide ribosomal RNA is filed under the name uncultured bacterium. RNAcentral describes it as "partial 16S ribosomal RNA". It matches the Rfam family "Bacterial small subunit ribosomal RNA", at positions 28 to 507 of the family's 1533-position model. The record is from RNAcentral.